CCCAGCGAAUUUUCUCUGGAUGUUGUCUCUGGCUGUAACAAAAAAAAAAUGAGUAACUUGAAGAGAUCUUACACGAAGCCUCUGCCAGAGACAAAUAACGACUGAUCCGGUUUUAAAUCCGAGAGGAAGCCUUCUGCAAAGCUUCCUAAAAUAACAGCGUGCCUUCCUGUGGCUGCCUGGGUGAACUGGGGAUGGUCAUGGAUGUGGAGGCUUCGGGGGGCGAUGCCGAGCCGUGCCCGUGGUGGGAACAUCUGUCUGGGCAGAGAUUCCGAGGCCAACACUCCAUGGAGGAUGUUUGUUUAGACAGGAUGAAUGCUUUUGUGAAAUCUAAUAUUAGGCUCUAUCUAGGUAUGUCCGCUUGGCACCGGCCUCCGCGCUCUGUGCGCGAACAAACGUUAAUUAGCAGGGAGAGAAAAAAAAAAAAACAAAACAAUAAUUCUCGGCUUUGUGGCCGGAGUAACGCGGCGUGACGGCGGGAAUGGAUUGGUUCAGCUGCUGGAAGGUCCUGUGGCUGUUGCCUGGUGCGAGUGUUAUCAGUGUUUGUGUGCUGCUCCGGGGUUUGUUUGCUGGCCGUGCCCGCACGGAGCGGGUGACUCACGGCAGAGCCCGAGCCUCCAGCACGUCCAAGUUCCCUAAAUCCAUCGCCUUCGUGGCACUGGCGGUAACAAACACUCUCAGAAAUUUCCCUGAAAUGGGGUUUGGUAGAGGCAACAGACAGAGCUGUUCAUGUGCCAUAACUUCUCUGCCUGCUGCCAGCAUGGUCAUGGAUGUGCAAAGGCCAUUGCAGGAAGAUGGUGGAGGGGCUAAUUACAAGAAAUGAUACCUCCCCUUUCUAGAUCUCUCCUGAAAACCCCUCCAAGGACCCAGCUUUGCCAUUGCCCAGAGGUGUUGGAGCUCUGCUCCUAUAGGAUUUGGACAGACCCUGGAUAUUUUUAUGCUCAACCCUGUGUGUUCACAUGGUCACUGCUUUUGCUGAGCUGAGUGGCCCUACUGCUGGCUGACUCGCUGUCUUGUUCCCUGCUUUGUUUUCCUGGCCUCUUCCUCCAACCUUUCUCAAAGAGGAGACUUUUUUUCCUUACAAGAGCCUGAAGAUUCAGGAAAUGCAGGAUUCCACCUUUGCUGGGGUAAAUGUGGCUCAGAACUGAAGUUGUAACCUACCCAAAACCACAUUGGGAAGGUGUUUAAGCCAAGAUGUUCACCUGGGAUCCCAUGUCCUGCUCUUGCACAACCACCUUCCAAACCCUCCAAGCCCUUUCCCCACUGGGAUCCACUCGGCUCAGUCCCACCUCAGGUCCCAGCAGAGCUGGAGGCACUGAAACGCAGCUCCUGGCCAGGCUGGCGAGUGCUCCUGGAACACUUUGUUGCAGGGAAGUCAUCUGACGUUGGAACAAACGGGCUGCUCCGUGCUGGGACGGCGACCAAGAGCGGAAGGGAGCGCGGGGGACAUCGCGCCGGAUCCAGGCAUUGUGUCCUCGGGUGCGACACCCCGCCGACACCGAGCGACAGCGUUUCUCCACAAGGAGCCUCAUCAGCUACCAGGGACGGGGUUUCGGUGAGCUGUUGCUCAGUGGAAGGCGCUGGAAUCUGGCCCGGAAUAACCUCCCUGCGAUUUCUCCCCGCCCGGAGCUGCAGGAGCCUUUCUGCACCCCCGUUCUGCAUGGCCAAGCCCAGGUCCCCAGAGACGGGUCCUGUGCACAUCCCGAGCUCAGCACCAGCCCAUAAAUCUUGCUGCUGGAUGCAGGCAGUGAAAUAUGAACAAAGGAAACCACCAUGCGGUGCGGGGGUAGGGUGGGGAAUCGCUCUGGCACCCUCCUUGCUCGGAAAGAAGUGAGAAAACAUGGCUUUGUGUUGCUGUUGUUGUAGUUGUUGUUUUAUGGUUUCUACAGAUGCUUCCAAUAAAAGAAUUAUGAAACUAUUCCCAUCGGUGGCCCGUCCUCUACCCACAGUAGUGACGGAGAAGUUUGCUGGAUUUCCGUCAGCAGAACAAUUUGAGUGUGGACUCUGCUGUUGCAAAUUUAGGAAAGCUCUCCACUUGCUGCCUGCCAAGGAGACAGGUGAUCUUUUAUUUAUUGUUUUUGGACACUGGCUGGUGAUGAUGACGAUCGAUUUCAGUUCAAAUGUGUGUGUCUUAAUACUUCUGUUAUUACAACUUUUUCCUUCCUGGUCUAUGAUUUGCUGAUUUGUGUUUAAAAAUCAGUGUUAAAAAUCAGUG
This is a long non-coding RNA of Prinia subflava (tawny-flanked prinia), 2212 nucleotides long. RefSeq lists it as uncharacterized. The record is from RefSeq and is a predicted model, not a curated record. The transcript is spliced from 3 exons. Lineage: Eukaryota; Metazoa; Chordata; Aves; Passeriformes; Cisticolidae.